Long non-coding RNA from Falco peregrinus (peregrine falcon), 1379 nucleotides. RefSeq lists it as uncharacterized. Lineage: Eukaryota; Metazoa; Chordata; Aves; Falconiformes; Falconidae. The record is from RefSeq and is a predicted model, not a curated record. The transcript has 3 exons.
CCUUUAUCAGUGAUCUGGAUGAGUGAACCAAGUGCACCAUCACAUAUAAUUUACAGUAAAAACACAGGAAGCUGAAUGAUUUCCUCUGAGGAAAGUACCUGACAAAGAGGUGAACGAGUGAAGUCACCAGGCCCUUUGACUUCAUCGUUACCCAUGGCUCCUCAGUGGUUUCAGACAGAGACGCUAUCUUGCAGAGACACCUUUGAAGUGGUUUUGCCAGAUCAUGGCAGGUGGGAGGCACACGAGGCCUGAGUUUUUCCCUGUGGCAAUCCAAGCACGGGGAGUCCUGAGCUUGUGAAUAACACCAGCUAUUAUUUACGUUGCAUGUUGCACACCAAAAAAAAACCCUCUCAACCAUUAACAGGCUGUGACCAGAGGUUGUUCUGCACACAGUGCAUGGGCUUCAGAGGUUCCUUGCUUAUCCAGAGGCUGGGCAGUUUGAGGCUGACUCCUGGGGGCUGCAGUGGGGGACCCAGGCAGGGGGAGGCAGCCUGCAAGCUCCUGUCCCUACGGCACAGCCAGGGCUGCCGUUUGAAGUCCAUCUCCUCCAUCCCUCUCUGCAGUCUUCUGAGAAGCCAAGUUGGAGAAGCAAAACACCAGCACUAAGGAAUGGGACUUGGACCUCCUGUGUUGCAAGGUCCCUUUGAAAAGCUCAGCCCAAACUUUUGCGGUUUCAGACGUCCUGAAGCGGCAUUUUUACCCGAAAAAAAUGUAUCUUCAAUGUAACUUAAAAGGGCACAAGUGAGUAACACUUCAGAUAUCAUCUCAAUGAGACCAUGAGUUCCCCACACUUUAAAAGUGACUAAAACUCAAGUGGGUUUUUCAGUGUGCAUGUGACUAAAUGCAGGAGUAGAAGGGUUGAGAGACAGACAGAGAUUGUAAACUUGGGAGAACAUCACCCUCUUUGUUUGACUGUAAUGCAAUAACCUCCUCUUUUUUUCUUCUCCAACUCCUACUACCUCCAGAAAACCUUCCUUUAAAUUGCAGAUGUGUUGAAAUGAUUGCAUGUGCUUAUAUUUUCCUGCUCCAUCCUCCACUUGGGAUGUCGUUUACACUGCAAAAUGAAAUAGAACUGAUUCAUUUUGCAGAAGGAACAUGAUUGAUACAAGCCCGGAUGGAGACUCAUUCUCAGCUCUGUGGAAAUUCCUCACCAAGGUUGCUAGUCAAGUGAAAACCUCUUCACUGUGGAGUCAUCAGGGUUGUGUUGCUACUCCUAAACUUCUUGGGCUGGAGCCAGAAAAAGCUUGUGAGCAGUCUGCCUGUAGCUCCUGAUGAAUUGCAGAGAAGAACAGCAACCAGCCAAGCAUCGUCUCAGCAAUCCCAGCUGUAUUCCAUAGGUCUGUGUCAUCUUGUCCACAUUCCUGGAAGGCAGAAGUACG